Long non-coding RNA from Danio aesculapii, 452 nucleotides. RefSeq lists it as uncharacterized. The record is from RefSeq and is a predicted model, not a curated record. The transcript is spliced from 3 exons. Lineage: Eukaryota; Metazoa; Chordata; Actinopteri; Cypriniformes; Danionidae.
GAUGUGCAAGCGUGCGCGCGCGUGAGAGAGAUAGACACGAAGAGAGUUGCGCGCACUGGUUUGGAGUGGUUUUGGAAAGCUGUUGGUAACUGACGGAUCAAUGCUUCAUGUUUGACUGCAGUGUUUUAUUUUUAUAGUUUGUUUAUAGUCUGUGAUGUUCGGCUCGGAGAUCAAUUUUUUCACGAAUCGGUUUAAUUGCAGUUUUUUUUUGCGUCGUGCGCAAUAUCUUACGCGCUGCUGGAUUAACAUGAACGUGCGCAGAUUUGGGAUUUUGGAUUUCAGUGAAGUAACAUAUGCGGGCUCUCUGACAGCCAGGGUCUGGAUUUGGCCGAAGAGUCAAGAGAAAAUCACAUCUGAAGUCAGAGGUUACAGAUUUUCAGCUUUCUACAAAAUAAAAUCUUCAAAAACUGAAUAAAGAAACUCAUAAAUGUUUGGAACCAGUUGUUUGGGGU